This 200-nucleotide ribosomal RNA is filed under the name uncultured prokaryote. RNAcentral describes it as "partial 16S ribosomal RNA". It matches the Rfam family "Bacterial small subunit ribosomal RNA", at positions 1183 to 1382 of the family's 1533-position model. The record is from RNAcentral.
CGUCAAAUCAUCAUGCCCCUUAUGUCUUGGGCUACACACGUGCUACAAUGGCCGGUACAAAGGGAAGCGAAUGCGUAAGCAGGAGCGGAGCCCAAAAAAGCGGUCUCAGUUCGGAUUGUGGGCUGCAACCCGCCCACAUGAAGCCGGAGUUGCUAGUAAUCGCGAAUCAGCAUGUCGCGGUGAAUGCGUUCCCGGGCCUU